GGCGGACGGGUGAGUAACACGUGAGAAUUUACCUUUAGGAGGGGGAUAACAAUUGGAAACGAUUGCUAAUACCCCAUAUGCUUUUGAGUGAGAUGGAUUUAUAUUUAUCCGCCUAGAGAGAAGCUCGCGGCUGAUUAGCUUGUUGGUAAGGUAAGAGCUUACCAAGGCGACGAUCAGUAUCUGGUUUGAGAGGACGAUCAGACACACUGGAACUGAGACACGGUCCAG
This 228-nucleotide ribosomal RNA is filed under the name uncultured bacterium. Its description in RNAcentral is "partial 16S ribosomal RNA". It matches the Rfam family "Bacterial small subunit ribosomal RNA", at positions 97 to 334 of the family's 1533-position model. The record is from RNAcentral.